CGCAAUCAGACGCUUGCUUUAUAGCGGAAGGGACGUGUUAACAGCCAAAAAAUAAAAAAUAAAUAAAAAUGUCUUCGCAGACGCAAGAGUUUCAGAUGGAGAUGACAUGUGAGGGAUGUUCAAAUGCUGCCAGACGAGUGCUGGGAAAACUUGGAGUAAGUGAAUCUGAUAUUCAAACAGAUCUACAGGCGCAGAAAGUAACAGUGACCUCGACUUUCAGUAAAGAAAAACUUCUGGAAACUUUACAGAAAACUGGGAAAAAGGUCUCCUUUAUAGGAGUUAAAAACUAGUUGUCCUGUGUAGAGAUACUCACACUGCAGAAUACAGUCUCAAGCUUUCCUGGAUAUUUUUCAAUGUUAGGUUACUUCAUGUUGGCCUUGUUUUCAUAAGUAAACAUUUAAAGGUAUACCAGACCCAAAUUUUACUUUAAAAGUAUGAACAGUGACUAUAUAUAGUUCAUGUAAACAUAAAACAAACAUGAUUAUGUGUGUUUACAGUUUGAAAUAGUACAGUAACAUACUCAGUACAUGUAUAGAUAAACACAGUGUAAAUGUGUACUAUCACUAAAGACUGGAAGUUUUUUAAACAGUCUACUAUAAGUGUAUGUAGCUCUACAUGCAGAAUCGAUUUAUAUAUUUAGAAAAGAUAAAUGAAUUUAAUGAGGAUCUCCUGUGUUUUAAGUAAAUAUCUAAAGAUAAAAAAAAUUUAGUAAAAGGUGGGCAUUGGAUAUCUUUAAACCAUGACCAUUAUUUGAGCUGUACCAUGAGAAAACCAACAUAGUGCAUUUGCGACCAGCAUGGAUCCGGACCAGCCUGUGCAUUCGCAAAGUCUGGCCAGGAUCCAUUCUAUUCACUUUCAAAGCCUACUGCAGUUAGAGAAACCAUUAGCGAAAAGUACGGGUCCUGACCAUGCGCUGGUCUGGAUCCAUGCACUAUGUUGGUUUUCUCAUGGUGUAGCUUAUUUUAUGUUGUAAUAUAUGUUAAAAUCAGUGAGAAAGUUUUUUUUUUUCUUUUAAGCAUGUCCAGGGAACUUUUUGCCUAUUGCAGUAGUUCCUUUCUACACAAACAAAGUGAAAAUAAAGUAUUUCUUCUUAUUAAUAUACUUUCAUGAUUUUUAAAUAGAUUAUUCGGAGAGAUAUUUGUUGUUACUUGUGUUAAUACAAACCUAUGUACAUGUGAAUUGUAUCACGUUUCUUGACGAUAGUUGCUUGUGUGUGUGGCUUUAUGGUGACUAACUGUUAUUCAAUACUCUGCAGAUAUAUCUCUGCUUUAAGUUAAAGAAAUGUUUACUUUUUGUGCAAUAUAUAAGUAGAUUUGUUAGCAUUUUACUAGUUGCAGAAAAAAAUUAUGUCUUAUACGAACUGUUGUUCUUAUCUGAUAACAAAGAUUUGGUAUUGUAUUAAUUUGGAACAGCAUACAGUCGGCAUAGUUUUAAGUAUUCAGAUACAAGAGUAUGAGUUAAAGAUUUAUUUUCUUCAAUUUUCUAUGUUAUACAGGUCAGAAAUGUCCAGGUUGAUACAUUGCUUUAAUACUGUUGCAAUUCAACAUGAUUUUUCUGUUUUUAGAAGAAAAAAAAUCUUUUUUUUCCCCUUAAUUUUUAUUUUUCCAUUUCUCUGUAUUUUUAAUGUUUGGUGCAAAUACAAAUGUAUAACUGAAUGACAUUGUGUAUGUAAGAUGUUUGAAAACAUUUUUGGUCAUAUUUUACUUGUAUGCUAUGUUGUAAAAAUUUUAUUAUAUAACUAUUAUGAUUUAACAUAGUUCUUCCCUACUAAACACUGAACGGCUUCCUGAUCAAAAGUCAAAACUAUUGCCUAAGAUCUAUUCUGUAAGUAUUUUAUUACAUGACAUCAGAAAUGAAUUUUCACAUUUUUUUCCUUCAAGUUUUAACGUAGCCCAGCAAAAAUAAGUGUUCAACGAUUAACGACUGUUAAUAGCACAAAUUCUGGACUCGUGAAUUAUAUAAGGAGUGUUGUUAUAAUAGUUAGUGAAACACAAUAAAGAAUAGUUGGUUGAACAUUAUAUUAUGGAGGAUGUAUUCAUAACUCUAGCAAAGUAACGCCUAAAUCAUUAUUUCAUUUUGAUUUACAUAUUGAAUGAAUAAUAGAUUUCAAAUUGAUAAUCUGUCGAUGAAAAGAUUCAGUUGAAGUUGAUUCAGGAAGUGAAUAUGAAUACAUUUUGCCUUCUUUCUUUACUUGUAUUUAAUUGGUUAGAAGUUGUUGAAUUUUUAUCAGGCAUGUAAUUAACCUGUGAUGUAAGGAUUUUUCAACAUAUAUGUAAUUGUGUUUGAUCAAAACCAACUAUGUUUAAAGAACGUUUUUGCUUAUUUGCAUAAUAUAUUUUGGUAUGCUUGAAAUAUAAGACAACCAGUUUGCAUUCUUAUUUAGAUAGUGUUUUUCAUUCAUUUCAUUUUCCCACUUUACAUACUGUUUAUCACGGUUUAUAAUUCACACUACACUGUAUGUAUACAGAAAAUUUACAUAUCAGUAUAUUAGGUUUAGAGAAAAUGAAUUAAACUGUAUUACCGAAGGGCACUUUUUGUCCUACACAUACUGGUAAUGAGCAUUCUAUUUAAUGACAAGUGCUUGUAUUUAAAUGUGAUCUUGAUCUGAAAUAAAAUUUUAUUUAUCAUCAAUGAA
Molecule: long non-coding RNA, 2635 nt
Organism: Mercenaria mercenaria
Lineage: Eukaryota; Metazoa; Mollusca; Bivalvia; Venerida; Veneridae
Exons: 4
Source: RefSeq, a predicted model, not a curated record